This 465-nucleotide ribosomal RNA is filed under the name Vreelandella stevensii. RNAcentral describes it as "partial 16S ribosomal RNA". It matches the Rfam family "Bacterial small subunit ribosomal RNA", at positions 338 to 795 of the family's 1533-position model. Lineage: Bacteria; Pseudomonadati; Pseudomonadota; Gammaproteobacteria; Oceanospirillales; Halomonadaceae. The record is from RNAcentral.
CCUACGGGCGGCAGCAGUGGGGAAUAUUGGACAAUGGGCGAAAGCCUGAUCCAGCCAUGCCGCGUGUGUGAAGAAGGCCUUCGGGUUGUAAAGCACUUUCAGUGGGGAAGAAAGCCUUGGGGCUAAUACCCUCGAGGAAGGACAUCACCCACAGAAGAAGCACCGGCUAACUCCGUGCCAGCAGCCGCGGUAAUACGGAGGGUGCGAGCGUUAAUCGGAAUUACUGGGCGUAAAGCGCGCGUAGGCGGUCUGAUAAGCCGGUUGUGAAAGCCCCGGGCUCAACCUGGGAACGGCAUCCGGAACUGUCAGGCUAGAGUGCAGGAGAGGAAGGUAGAAUUCCCGGUGUAGCGGUGAAAUGCCUAGAGAUCGGGAGGAAUACCAGUGGCGAAGGCGGCCUUCUGGACUGACACUGACGCUGAGGUGCGAAAGCGUGGGUAGCAAACAGGAUUAGAUACCCCAGUAGUC